Lagenorhynchus albirostris (white-beaked dolphin) is the source of this 5430-nucleotide RNA transcript. It is a transcript of the gene named SRSF protein kinase 2, with no coding region annotated. The record is from RefSeq and is a predicted model, not a curated record. NCBI's taxonomy places the organism in Eukaryota, Metazoa, Chordata, Mammalia, Artiodactyla, Delphinidae. The transcript has 18 exons.
GAGGAGGAAGCGGCGCUCAUGGGGAUGCAAGGAUGUAGAGGAGCAAAGGGGGAGAAGAGGCCGCGUGAGGAGAGGUGGUGUGAGACCCGCGGAGGUGCCGGCCAAGGAAGGGCGCAUGGAGAAGCGGGCGGCGCGACCCGCCGGGUGCUGGCCAUUCAGGCCCGAAAGCGGAGGCCGAAAAGAGAGAAACAUCCGAAAAAGCCGGAGCCUCAGCAGAAAGCUCCCUUGGUUCCUCCACCCCCGCCCCCUCCACCACCGCCGCCUCUGGCAGACCCUGCGCCCCCGGAGCCAGAGGAGGAGAUCCUGGGGUCAGACGAUGAGGAGCAGGAGGACCCCGCAGACUACUGCAAAGGUGGCUAUCAUCCAGUGAAAAUUGGAGACCUCUUCAAUGGCCGGUAUCAUGUUAUUAGGAAGCUAGGAUGGGGACACUUCUCUACUGUCUGGCUGUGCUGGGAUAUGCAGGGAAAAAGAUUUGUUGCAAUGAAAGUUGUAAAAAGUGCCCAGCAUUAUACAGAGACAGCCUUGGAUGAAAUAAAAUUGCUCAAAUGUGUUCGAGAAAGUGAUCCCACUGACCCAAAUAAAGACAUGGUGGUACAGCUAAUCGAUGACUUCAAAAUUUCAGGCAUGAAUGGAAUACAUGUCUGCAUGGUCUUUGAAGUGCUUGGCCACCAUCUCCUCAAGUGGAUCAUAAAAUCCAACUACCAAGGCCUCCCAGUACGUUGUGUGAAGAGCAUUAUUCGACAGGUCCUUCAGGGGUUAGAUUAUCUACACAGUAAGUGCAAGAUCAUUCAUACUGACAUAAAGCCGGAAAACAUCUUGAUGUGCGUGGACGAUGCAUAUGUGAGAAGGAUGGCAGCCGAGGCCACCGAGUGGCAGAAAGCGGGCGCUCCUCCUCCUUCGGGGUCUGCAGUGAGUACUGCUCCACAGCAAAAACCUAUAGGAAAAAUAUCUAAAAACAAAAAGAAAAAACUGAAAAAGAAGCAGAAAAGGCAGGCUGAGUUAUUGGAAAAGCGCCUGCAGGAAAUAGAAGAAUUGGAGCGAGAAGCUGAAAGGAAAAUAAUAGAAGAAAACGUCACAUCAGCUGUACCUUCCAAUGAACAAGAUGAUGAAUACCACCCAGAGGUGAAACUAAAAACAGCAGGAUUAGAGGAGGCAGCCGAGGGUGAGACUGCGAAUAACAAUGGCGAAGCUGAGGACCAGGAGGAGAAAGAAGACACUGAGAAAGAAAACACCGAGAAAGACGAAGACGAUGUUGAGCAGGAACUCGCGAAUGUAGACCCUACUUGGAUGGAAUCACCCAAAACCAAUGGCCAUAUUGAGAAUGGCCCAUUCUUACUGGAACAGCAGCUGGACGAUGAAGACGAUGAUGAGGAAGAUUGCCCAAAUCCCGAGGAAUAUAACCUCGAUGAGCCAAAUGCAGAAAGCGAUUACACAUAUAGCAGCUCCUACGAACAAUUCAAUGGUGAAUUGCCAAAUGGACGACAUAAAAUUCCUGAGUCCCAGUUUCCAGAGUUUUCCACAUCAUUGUUCUCUGGGCCCUUAGAACCUGUGGCUUGUGGCUCUGCACUUUCUGAGGGAUCCCCGCUUACCGAGCAUGAGGAAAGCAGUCCAUCCCAUGACAGAAGCAGGACGGUUUCAGCCUCCAGCACUGGGGAUUUGCCAAAAACAAAAACCCGGGCAGCCGACCUGUUGGUGAAUCCCCUGGACCCACGGAAUGCAGAUAAAAUUAGAGUUAAAAUUGCCGACCUGGGAAACGCUUGUUGGGUGCAUAAACACUUCACAGAAGACAUCCAGACGCGUCAGUAUAGAUCCAUAGAGGUUUUAAUAGGAGCAGGUUACAGUACCCCUGCUGACAUUUGGAGUACGGCGUGUAUGGCAUUUGAGCUGGCAACGGGAGAUUAUUUGUUUGAACCGCAUUCUGGGGAAGACUAUUCCAGAGACGAAGACCACAUAGCCCACAUCAUAGAGCUGCUAGGCAGUAUCCCAAGGCACUUUGCUCUGUCUGGAAAAUAUUCUCGGGAAUUCUUCAAUCGCAGAGAUCACAUAGCAUUGAUCAUUGAACUGCUGGGGAAAGUCCCUCGAAAAUACGCUAUGUUGGGGAAAUAUUCCAAGGAGUUUUUCACCAGAAAAGGAGAGCUGCGGCACAUCACCAAGCUGAAGCCCUGGAGCCUCUUUGAUGUACUUGUGGAAAAGUAUGGUUGGCCCCAUGAAGAUGCUGCACAGUUUACAGAUUUCCUGAUCCCAAUGUUAGAAAUGGUUCCAGAAAAACGAGCCUCAGCGGGCGAAUGCCUUCGGCACCCGUGGUUGAAUUCUUAGCAGAUUCUGCCCACGCGCAUUCUGAGCUGGCACAUGCUGCCCAGUGCAUUGGCCCUAAAGGGGGACUCUCGUUCUUAACAGGAUUACAAGUGAGCUGGCUUCAUCCUCAGACCUUUUAUUUUGCUUUGAGGUACUGUCGUUUGACAUUUUGCUUUUUUGUGCACUGUGAUCCUGGGGAAGGGCAGUCUUUUGUCUUCAGCUUAGUAGUUACUGACCCACUUUACUUCUGGAAACAAUAACAUGUCUCUAAGCAUUGUUUCUUGUGUUGUGUGACAUUCAAAUGUCAAUUUUUUUUGAACGAAGAAUACUUUCCUCCUUGUGUUUUGGCAGGUUUUGUAACUAUUUAUGAAGAAGUAUUUUAGCUGAGUACUAUAUAAUUUACAAUCUUAAGAAAUUAUCAAGUUGGAACCAAGAAAUAGCAAGGAAAUGUACAAUUUGAUCUUCUGGCAAAGGGACAUCAUUCCUGUAUUAUAGUUCCAUGUGAAGUCAUCAUGGAAAAUGACAAGCAGUGGAUCACAUAUGUGAUGAUAGCAGAUUCAGAAGCUGGCUGUCUGGAAAUUAGAACUGCCCCAAGGCAGAGGAAAAGUGGAUAUAAUAGGAGCUUCAAAAAAGCAUUAGCUUUCUAGGUGAAAACUGAUUUACUAACUUGCUUCUUCCUGUACUUGGAUUGUCCGUAGCUAGUUAACAGCUGGGGUAGAGAACUUCAGUUUGUAUCUGCCGGUGAAAUUACUUCUUAAAUUCCAGUUUUCUCCCAUUAAUUUUUUUUAAGAAAUUAAUGCAGUUUACAGAAAAGCUUCCGUAUACAUUAUUUGUAUAGUAGGCAAAUCUAAAACUAUGAGGAAUUAAAAUCUUUAGGACAGUCCUUUUAAAGAGGUGUGAAUAUUCAUAGUUCACUAUGCUAGUUAACUUUGUCUUCUGUUUGAAACUAUCGGUGGGGGGGGUGGGGGGGAGUGGAUGACUGGAUGAUGUAAAGCCACUUCUUCGUGGACAGGUAUUUCUUUAGCAAAUACCAUAAGUAGAAUCUUGUUUGAUAAUCAAGGAUGGCAAAGUUGACCUAAGUUCUAAAACUUGAUUAGGAUUGAGCCCUAAACACAGCUGUGUUAAUGUAGCUGUUUUCAAAAGGAAAUGGAAAUUAAAAGUGUAAAAACAUGACAUACUACUGCCAAUCUUAGUCAUUUUUAGUCUGUUUACUUUUUUCUCCAAUACACAGAAUUUGUAUACUGUGUCAAAUUAUGUCAAGUAAUUGGAUGGUGAACUAUGUUGACAAAUACUGUCACUGCUAUUGGUUUAUACUUAAUCCUCCUGAGAGGUAGAAGACAAUAAGAAUUUAUUAUUCCAAAAUAAUAACUAGUAUUUUGUAUUUCAGCAAUAAAAUGUUCACUUGAGAGGGCACUUUCAUUUCACUUGAGAGAGCUAAGAAUGCCUUUUUCCUGUAGUUUUGUACACCCAAAACAAAUUUGUAAAAUUUCCUGCUACUCUUUAAAAUACUAUAGCUAGACAGUAAAUGUUAAGGUUUUCAACUAAUUUUGGUUCAUCAGUAGGACAUCUCAGUCAUGUUCUAACAUGUACAAAUUAGAUAUUCCUGUGUUUUUAGGUAAAAUAUUCCGUACUUUCAAACAGCUGUAAAUUAGUCUGUAGUUGAAUCACGGGACGCUUCAAUGGAAUGGACUCAUCUUGUACGAUGUCAGAUAUAAGCAAACGUGUGCAGCAUUUGCGUAGCACGGUAGUUUCUCAUGGCUCCUGCUCCUGCAAAACAAUAACACGUAGGAACCUCCCAGGAACAAGCCUUUACCGCCUCCUGAUCUUGCUGCAGUCCCGUCCAGCUGAGGUAGUAGUUGCGAAAGAAAAUGGAAGGCUCCUUACAAACUCUAUCUGGAAAAGGUAACUUCUGUAAAAACACUUGCAUAAACAGACCCCAAUCUCAGAAGUGGUACAGGACAAUUUGGUAAAACUGACAUAAUUGUGGUUUAUUAACAUGAAUUAAAAUGCCCAACCAGUGCUUCAAUGUGACAGUAUAUUUAAAAUAGAGGAAUUAAAGGCCAUAUACUGUACUACUUUCACAAAGAUCACACAGUUUUGCAAAGACAUGUCAUAUGUACAGUGCUAUAUGUCAAAUGAGAAAAGCUGUAAGCGAUUAUAUACGCAAAAGAAAUGCAGUAUUUACAGUUUUUCAGGAGACAUUAAAAAUCAUCUGUACAUUAUAUUACAUUUUGCUUGCAAAUAACCGAUAAAACAAAAUGAGCCAUCUUCACACCAAACUAAAAAUCUGUAUUGCAUUUUUUUUAUACAUAAGAUGCACUCACAGAACUGCUGAUUGAUAGAAAGAAAAUCCUCGUACUGCCAUUACUUAGCCGUGUAUUUAAUGCAUAUGUAUAACAUAAUAAUAUAGAAAACAUUCACUAAAUGAAUUUAAUUCCAACAAUAAAAUUUAAAGAUCAUGUAGCAUCAAAUCUACUGCCAGAAAAACAGCUGGAAUGUUCACUUACAAAAUAAAAGAUACCUACACUGGCUUAACAGCACAUUUUUUAAGGGAUUUUUUUAAAAAGCAAAAAUGGGAAAAAUACAAUGAGAGAGCACUGGUGUUUUUUUGUUUUGUUUUUUUAUACAAAGUUUCAUGUACAAGCUUUAAAAAGUACCUUAACAGGUACAUAUGAAAUGUACAGUUUAUCUUACAGAACAUUUUAAAAAGUUUUUGGAGUCUAUUUUAAUGCCACCCUGAACCAUGGUAAUUGUUCUGAAAUGUUGGUGGCACCUGUGCUCUGUGAAUUGGAAUCUGUCCAGGCACUGGAGAUGCCUGCUGAGGUCCUUGAACCCCAUGUGGCAGGGCCACAGAGCCAGGAUGAGGACAGAACCCUGAAGCGGUAGGUGUGGGAAUACUGUUUGGUCCUUGGGGCUGGAGAUGAGGACCUGCGACUGGUAAAGGACAAUGUGGCCCUGUUCCAGAAGGCUGGUGUUGGGGUCCCGGUCCCAGAGUGGUGUGAUGUGUAGUAGCUUGUGAGGGGUACGGUGGUACAGCUGGAUGAGCACUUGAAGGAAAAAGUGGAGGUCCUUGAUGAGGUGGGUGGUGUAAGGCUGGAGCCGAUGGGGUAUGAUGUCCGGAAGCCAGAACACCGG